AGCUUUGUGCAGUGGCAGUAUCGUAGCCAAUGAGGUUUAUCCGAGGCGCGAUUAUUGCUAAUUGAAAAAAACUAGAAGGCAAAAUUUAAAAAGAAAAGUUUUAUCUUUUGAAGUUGUGGCCACU
This 124-nucleotide small nuclear RNA is filed under the name Tupaia belangeri (northern tree shrew). RNAcentral describes it as "U4 spliceosomal RNA (ENSTBEG00000020303.1)". It matches the Rfam family "U4 spliceosomal RNA". From Rfam's summary of the family: U4 small nuclear RNA (U4 snRNA) is a component of the major U2-dependent spliceosome. The record is from RNAcentral. Lineage: Eukaryota; Metazoa; Chordata; Mammalia; Scandentia; Tupaiidae.